RNAcentral lists this long non-coding RNA (298 nucleotides) under Aquilegia coerulea. RNAcentral describes it as "long non-coding RNA (ACOE_LNC000822)". The record is from RNAcentral. Lineage: Eukaryota; Viridiplantae; Streptophyta; Magnoliopsida; Ranunculales; Ranunculaceae.
AAUUCAGGUCAUUGUCUUGUGCAUUUCCUUUUUGGUAUGGAUCAUGGGAAUCUGCAGUUGCAUCAUCUCCAUCCAUUUGGCUUGCUGCGUACAGGUAUUAAUCAUCUUUCUAUCCUUUGUUGUGAUGUUAGGUUGAUGUUCUCUUAGAUUAUUUUGUUUGAUUGUAAUUAGCUUAUUUUGUUGGCUUUUCCAAUCGUGUAGUACUUUUCUUCUAUUUCUUUCUAAUUUGUCUCUAGGCUUCAAUGAUGUUUAUGUUCGUACAUUGUUACCAUUUUAAUACAUUUCCCUUCUUAAUUUA